AACGCACAUUGCGCCUCCGGGUAUUCCUGGAGGCAUGCCUGUUCGAGCGUCGUUUAGACCAUGAGGCUUUGCCUUGCGAUGGCGUUUGGAACUUCCGCAGGGAAGUCCAUCCGUUCAAACCUAUUGGCAUCUGAAAUUGGCCCAGCACAGCAAAAUGUGUCUUGGGAGUCGAUGGAAAAGAUGCCUCGUACUCCAUGUUUUAGCGAUGGAACAUGUAUUGGUCGACCUCGGAUCAGGCAAGAUUACCCGCUGAACUUAA
RNAcentral lists this unclassified non-coding RNA (259 nucleotides) under uncultured fungus. RNAcentral describes it as "partial contains 5.8S ribosomal RNA, internal transcribed spacer 2, and large subunit ribosomal RNA". The stretch from base 1 to 52 matches the Rfam family "5.8S ribosomal RNA", at positions 103 to 154 of the family's 154-position model. The record is from RNAcentral. Lineage: Eukaryota; Fungi.